AAAGGAAUAGACGGGACCCCGCACAAGCGGUGGAGCAUGUGGAUUAAUUCGAUACUAACCGAAGAACCUUACCCAGACUUGACAUCGACGGAAAGCCUUAGAAAUAAGGCCCUCUCCCACAAGGAGACCAGAAGACACUUGUUGCAUGGCUGUCGUCAGCUCGUGCCGUGAGGUGUACGGUUAAGUCCGCCAACGAGCGCAACCCUCGUUCUAUGUUGCCAGCACUAAAGGUGGGAACUCAUAGGAUACUGCCCGUGUAAGCGGGAGGAAGGUGAGGAUGACGUCAAGUCAGCAUGGCAGUUACGUCUGGGGCUUCACACAUGCUACAAUGGGCGAAACAAACGGCAGCAAUACCGCGAGGUGGAGCAAAUCCGAAAAAUACGCCCCCAGUUCAGAUUGUAGUCUGCAACUCGACUACAUGAAGGCGGAAUCGCUAGUAAACGCAGGUCAGCUAUACUGCGUUGAAUACGUUCCCGGGGUUUGUACACACCGCCCGU
RNAcentral lists this ribosomal RNA (497 nucleotides) under uncultured bacterium. RNAcentral's name for it is "bacterial SSU rRNA". It matches the Rfam family "Bacterial small subunit ribosomal RNA", at positions 903 to 1397 of the family's 1533-position model. The record is from RNAcentral.